AGGAUUCGUCCAAGUGAAAUAGAGGACAGUGGCGGACGGGUGAGUAACGCGUGAGGAACCUGCCUCAAAGAGGGGGACAACAGUUGGAAACGACUGCUAAUACCGCAUAAGCGCACAGCAUCGCAUGAUGCAGUGUGAAAAACUCCGGUGGUACAAGAUGGACCCGCGUCUGAUUAGAUAGUUGGUGAGGUAACGGCCCACCAAGUCAACGAUCAGUAGCCGGCCUGAGAGGGUGAACGGCCACAUUGGGACUGAGACACGGCCCAAACUCC
RNAcentral lists this ribosomal RNA (272 nucleotides) under uncultured Lachnospiraceae bacterium. RNAcentral describes it as "partial 16S ribosomal RNA". It matches the Rfam family "Bacterial small subunit ribosomal RNA", at positions 75 to 339 of the family's 1533-position model. The record is from RNAcentral. Lineage: Bacteria; Bacillati; Bacillota; Clostridia; Lachnospirales; Lachnospiraceae.